UAGGGAAUUUUCCACAAUGGGCGAAAGCCUGAUGGAGCAACGCCGCGUGCAGGAUGAAGGCUUUCGGGUCGUAAACUGCUUUUAUAUGUGAAGACUUCGACGGUAGCAUAUGAAUAAGGAUCGGCUAAUUCCGUGCCAGCAGCCGCGGUCAUACGGAAGAUCCAAGCGUUAUCCGGAAUUACUGGGCGUAAAGAGUUGCGUAGGUGGCAUAGUAAGCAGAUAGUGAAAUGAUGCGGCUCAACCGCAUGUCCAUUAUCUGAACUGCUAAGCUAGAGUAUAUGAGAGGUAGCUGGAAUUCCUAGUGUAGGAGUGAAAUCCGUAGAUAUUAGGAGGAACACCGAUGGCGUAGGCAGGCUACUGGCAUAUUACUGACACUAAGGCACGAAAGCGUGGGGAGCGAA
This 401-nucleotide ribosomal RNA is filed under the name uncultured bacterium. RNAcentral describes it as "bacterial SSU rRNA". It matches the Rfam family "Bacterial small subunit ribosomal RNA", at positions 355 to 772 of the family's 1533-position model. The record is from RNAcentral.